AUUGUCGUCGGGGCCGGGUUUUAUCUGGGCUUUGGGCUCCGCUGCCUGGCUCGGCCUAUUAACGUUUGCUCGUCUGAUUGCAGACACAGCUCGGGGGGCUGGAAGAGGCCAGCGUGGGGCAGUGCACCCUGGGGGGCACCGAGGGAAAUCGGAGCAACAGCUGCUGGUGGCCACGUCCCUCAUCCUUCUGCCUCCUGCUCCUUGGAGCACCUCACCACAACAAGGACACGAGGAGCUUCGGGUCAUCGGCUGAAAAAAAACCCCAGGACCAUCCAGCGAGGAAAUGAGGAGACUGCAAAGAAAAAUAAUGAAAGGCCUUUCUUGUGCAGUCCUGCUCGGCACGAACCGGGAUCAGGCCCUCCUCCUUCUCCUUGGCCCUCACGCUAUAAGAAACCCUGCUGCGGAUUUCACAACGGCGUGAUUGACAAGAUUAGAAAUUAUCUCCCCCUCUCUCUACAUAUAAGGUUACUGCCGCUCCAGGCACAGUGUGAAAUUCCCCUUGCCGGAGCUCAUUAAAUGGGUCAAUGGACGCGUUCCAGCUUCUCUGCAGUUCACAAAGGGCUGAGUCCUGGCCACCCCACCAAACUCUGUCCCAGGCUGUUGACGAGUAAGUGCUUCCAUAUGGCUCACCUCAGCAUCUCCAGAAAGAUAACAGAGAGUUAAUGGCUUGCAGAUUCCACGGAUGCUCGUCGCGAGACGUGCGGAGGAACCGGGGGCUCUGGGCUGCAUUCAAUCACAGCUGAUUGGGAGCGAGGGGACCGCAGGCUCCCUGCCACCAGCUGUCCCCACAGACCUUCCCCUCGGGGACAGGGGCAGGACGUUCACACAGCUGCUGGGGGAACAUGGGCAGAGCAGAGGGAAGGGCUGGUGGGCUGGCUCUGAGGUUACGUGGUGUCCUCACGGCCCUGGGACAAGCAGCAGUGAGAUCCUGGUCUGACACUGGAGGCACCCGUGGCCCUUUAGAUAUCCGCAGGCCUGAAGCCACUGAUGAAGUUUUGGUGACGUGAAGCUGGGGAACACAGCGAAAGCAUUCCUUUUUUUGCCCUUUCUCUUUCUUUUUUUUUUUUUUUUUUUUUUUUUCUUUUUCUUUUUUUUUUCUUUUUUCUUUUUUUAUGGCACUUCAGUGAAGAGAUGGCUUCUCCAAACCAUAUCUGUCACAAGGAAUGAUUUACAAAUCUCUCCCUGGCGUCCCUUCCCUCUGUGAGUCCACCUGCAGACUGCAUGGCAGGGAGCUCAUCCUGCAGCUCCUGCUCGUGCCACCGGCUACGAUCCCGGUGGUCCCGCUCCUGGGGGGCAGCCGGGUGGCUCCAUCACCCAUGCCACGGCGAGGAUGUCAAAUGCACCCAAACGCACCGCUCCCAACAUUUCUGCUGAAUAUCUGAGUACAGAAUUUAUAUUUAAUGAGUGUGCGUGCUGGGGAAGUUGGAGCGUUGGCAUUAUUCAUGCGGAAGAGACACAAUGGGGUCAAGAGCACAGGUGAAUCAAAGAGCUCUCUGCACCUGAACAAGCUCCCAGG
This 1516-nucleotide long non-coding RNA is filed under the name Anas platyrhynchos platyrhynchos (common mallard). RNAcentral's name for it is "lncRNA (ENSAPLG00000027100.1)". Lineage: Eukaryota; Metazoa; Chordata; Aves; Anseriformes; Anatidae. The record is from RNAcentral.